Molecule: long non-coding RNA, 225 nt
Filed under: Vitis vinifera (wine grape)
Lineage: Eukaryota; Viridiplantae; Streptophyta; Magnoliopsida; Vitales; Vitaceae
Description: long non-coding RNA (VVIN_LNC002132)
Source: RNAcentral
UGAUUUUGGAUUUGGAUAUACAUGUGAGAUUUCUUUUGAGACACUCAUAUAUAUUGUGUAUACUCAAUUGCUUCUUACAAGUACUGCUAAUUCUUUUUUAACUUUAUUUGCAAGAAUUAUAGUACCUAGGUUGUGAGGUUGAGUGGGUAAGUGAGUGGCCUUGUAUGAGAGUGGGUGGAAUUUGCUUGCUUAUACUCAUUUGUGUUGUAAAGGGUUUUGUCCCAG